GCAUGCGGCUUGCCGGCAUGCCAGAAGGCGAUAGAAUUUCAUUGCCGUACGGCGUACCUGGCUGCAACCUUGCAAAUCGAGAAAUACAAAGCUGAUGAUGGCUGCACAUCAAUCAUGACUCCGAUCAGGACCUGCAUACAUGGCCAGGUUAACGUAUCUUGAUCCCUACAGAGUUAGGCAGCGGGGCAGCUGGAUUUGGUACAAAUCGACCACGUCUAGCAUGCAUCUAUCUCGACGGUUAAUAGGUGUGGCAUCCCAGAAGUAGCAGAAUCACGCCUCGGAGGUAGUAGCGACCGUCGAGCGGCCGCCAACGAGAUAUGAAGAUGGAAGCUUGGUGCAAUCCCUACAAAACCCCAGAUGAACUCGACCACGACGGUGCUAUUCUGGUCGAUCAAAAAGGCCCCGAAGAUGGCGACGUGCAUGGAGGCGAUGCAUCAAUAUGCCAGUCGAUCCGGUUGCAGCAGCGGAGUGCUCAGGUAAGUGUGAUGCAUGUAUCAAUUCGAUCUGUUGUGUGCAUGAUCUACUACUAAAUAUCUAGGCUACUGAACUUACAUCGAACGUCGCAACAUCUGUCUCACGAUUUACAUACCAACGUAAGAUUGAUUGAUUGAUUAGAUAUGGCUACAUACAGAUGUGCGAACCGAAGAUGCAUGCAAGCUACGUGUGAUUUCUGAAGUUUGUUGGUCUUUAAAUUUGUAAGGACUGUCUUUGCUUUUUCCAUUAUUCUACAGCACACGAUGUCGCGGGUGUGAGCAGCUACCAUGCAAUUGACGCAUUUCACUUGCAGGUUAAAUAUCGAUGGUUUAUGCAAUUUGUAAUUUUCAUUACUAUUCUGGGCAAUGACGGGAGUAAUCAGAACAAUUAGAUCGGAUUGGUGUGUCUUCUCUGUAAUCUGCACGAAUAUUUGUUCUUUCAGGUUUUCCUUUUCUUUCCAUUUUGUCGAUUUAGGGAGGGUUUGACCUCUCUUUGCAGUGUAAGCAUCUCUACUAUUAAGAGUAAACUGGUGAAUGCC
Lolium rigidum is the source of this 1012-nucleotide long non-coding RNA. RefSeq lists it as uncharacterized. NCBI's taxonomy places the organism in Eukaryota, Viridiplantae, Streptophyta, Magnoliopsida, Poales, Poaceae. The transcript is spliced from 2 exons. The record is from RefSeq and is a predicted model, not a curated record.